RNAcentral lists this long non-coding RNA (1056 nucleotides) under Nicotiana benthamiana. Its description in RNAcentral is "long non-coding RNA (NBEN_LNC038448)". Lineage: Eukaryota; Viridiplantae; Streptophyta; Magnoliopsida; Solanales; Solanaceae. The record is from RNAcentral.
AGAGGAGUAUUCUUAUUGAUACUUAGGGAUGAUUUACAAUGGGGUAAGACCCCUCUAUUUAUAGACAUAGAAAAGACUUAGCCUUAAAGUAAAACUCUUCUAUAAGAUAGACAUUCACUCUAAUUAGAGUUCUAUUUAUAUCACUUUUAAAAUAUACCAUACCAUUUAUGCUAUUAUAAAAGCUCUCAGUAACAUCAAAAUGAAAAGAGUAAAUAAUUAUUUUUAAAGUUAAAAGUAUAUUUUUUUGGAGCGGACUAAAAAGAAUUAGGACGGAAGAAGUAAACAAAAUGAAAAUAUUGGCCUACAAACAUUGAAAUCACUAACAAAAAAGUUCGAAAAGGAAGGAGGAUUAGGCUUACAUGUUUCUCCUUUUGAUAUAAUCUCAGCAUUCUCUCCCAUAGUGAUGCAAGGGAAAAAACAAGUAGCCACACCUUCAAGGAGUCAAGAAAAUUAUCAAGAUUUUAGCAAAUACUAAUGUUUUAUUUAAGCAAAACUGAAGAGUUAAUUUAAAUAGUUGUUCAUUCAAUCAUUUAUACUAAAACAAUCCAGCAAAUAUAUAACAAUAUAAUAAUAACAACAAACUUAGUAUAAUCCUAUAAAGUAGGGUUUGGAGGUCUGAUAGAAUGUGCACAAACCUUAUUCUACCUUGUGGAGGUAUAUAGGUUAUUUUUGAUAGACCCCGAUCUUAAAAUAAAUAUAAAAGAAGCAGACACAACACGUAGGAACAUCAACAAGAUAAGAUGGUAGGGAAACAUGAUGAUAGAAUAAUCAAAGCGAAAGCAUCAACAUGUGUAUAAUCGAUAUAUAAUUAAUUAUAUCAAUUAGAAAGAAAAAAUUAAAUGGAGAAUUCAACUGGCUAUUUGUGUAAAGAUCGCUAAUGAAUUUGCAAUGAUGAAGCACAAAAUGUAAAAAUUAUACAGUUGAUGGGAUCAUCUAAGCAAUCACAAAUACCACUUGACCAUUGAACCUCUGUUGAAUUUGCUGUUGAUGGCAUAUUUUAGAACAAAUAAAAUGAAUGAAUUGAAAGGAUAUUAAAAGGUUAUUUUUCAAAAUUUU